RNAcentral lists this long non-coding RNA (4266 nucleotides) under Olea europaea (common olive). RNAcentral's name for it is "long non-coding RNA (OEUR_LNC006737)". The record is from RNAcentral. Lineage: Eukaryota; Viridiplantae; Streptophyta; Magnoliopsida; Lamiales; Oleaceae.
CCAUCAUUGUCAUCAAAACCACCACCACCACCGACAGCAACACCGUCACGGGGCAAACCACCACAGCAAGCACGACACCACCGGCCACCCCUCACUAUUGCAAUGCAAACUACCACCACAUUCACCGAAACCAAGCAUCAAAACAAUGAAAAACAAACCACCAAUCACGUCACCUGAUGUGAACCUGGUACACGAACACUAACGAACCCACAGAAGAAUAACACAAACCUCGAGAAAGCCAAAAAUCAAAGUUUAGGAUUCAAUUCACAAAUUUGCGGACCAAACAACCAAUAGUAUAUUAAACUAUUGACCUUUUGAUCACGAAACUUAUAAAUUUAAUCCGGAUUUGAAUUUAACCCAACUAAUUAAUGAAAACAACCCCAAGGUAACAAAGACACGAAUGACCUUUUCAUUACACAAUUAAUUGAACCUUACCCGAGUUUUGAAAGCCACAAGAUCGCGAAAUUUUGAUAAGUUCGGUUGUUCCACACAAGAACAAAUAUUGGAAGCGAAAAAGCCUUUCGAAUUAAUUCUCAAAAUAUCGAAGUCUUCGAAUAUAAUAGUGAAAUAAAUUUCCUAUUUAUAUUAAUGUCUAGAAAUAUGGGAAAAAAACCUGAUUUAAGAGUCCUAAAAUAAUAAACUUACAAAAAAUAAAAAAUUGAGUCAAAGUAGGAUUCUCGCGAGGAUAUUGUAACUUUGGUCCCAAAGUAUACUAUGCGGCCGACUUUGGCCUAAUCUAGAUCAUAACAUCCCUUCUCUCUUCGAAAAGAUUCGAUCUCGAAUCUGAACCUGGUUCAAAUACUUUGCACCUUCCAUCUGCUUGAUCAAUGUUGAACUCUUGAUUGAGCUUCUUGUACCCCGCGUUGCAAUGGUUGAUUAAUUCCUCUUCAAUGCUCUAAAGUUACUCCAUUUGUUGUACAUCAAUGAAAUACUUAAAUGGUGCUUUCUCAUGCAAUAAAUUUUUUUUUCCUGCAGUAAGGAAUGUUUCAAACUGGGGAGGAAUAUGUUAGCCUUCACCAACUCUCAUCCACCACCAAGCUCGAUCUUCUUUGCAUAUAAGCUCUCCUUUCAUUUUUCUUUCAUUUUCCCCUCAUCGCCUUUCAACCUCAACUAAUCAUCAUACACUUGUUGUGGUGUCAAAGGGACAAGUGUAAUUGUUUUUCCAUCCAUGUCAAAGUUGUAACUAUUUCUAAAUCCAUCAUGCUUCACCUUCCUAUCGUAUUACCACGGCCUACCCAAUAAUAUAUGCCCCGCAUCCAUAGGCACAAUAUCACACAACACUUCAUCCUUAUACAUCUCAAUUGACAAAUUCAAUAACACCCUCUUGUUCACCUUAACCUCUCCAUAAUCAUUCUUGAUUAAUGUGGUACUAGCUAAAUUUGUGCAACAACCUCCGUCAAUUAUUAAAUUACAUACCUUAUUUUCCACGUGGCAUCGUGUAUGGAAGAUAUUUUCCCGCUGUUGCUCCUCUUCAUCCACCUUGAUUUGCGAACUGAGUGCACGCAUCACCACCAAUGCGUCCCCUUCAACUGGAUACUCCACCCCGUCAUCAUCACUAACAUCUUCUAACUUGGGCAUUCCAUCUUCAUCACUGUCACUCACCACUUCCCCGCUGUCUUUCAAAAUCAUGGCUCGUUUGUUUGGAUACUGAGAAAUAAUGUGUCCUAUCCCCAAGCACUUGAUGUCCGGAUUCCUAACCAUGCCAGCGUUGUUAUCCUUUCCCCUAGGUGGUUCAAUUUUAUUGUUGACAAUAUGCCAUCAACCUUCUCUUCAUCCCACCUAGACCUCCAAGAUGAAUUAGGCCUCUGUUGAUUCCUAGCUCCCCAUUUUCUCUUCAACUGUCUCUCAACCUUCAUUGCUACAUGCAACAUAUCCUCUAGUUCCAUGUAAUGCUGCAAUUCAACAAUAUUGGCGAUAUCCCUGUUCAACUCAUUCAGGAAUCGCGCCAUGGUGGCUACCCUGUCCUCCUUCACAUUAGCCCGAAUCAUUAGAAUUUCCAUCUCUUUAUGGCAAUCCUCUACACUCCUUGGCCCUUGGUACAAUCCCCGCAACAUUUAAUGAAGCUCCCUAUAAUAGUGGCCAGGCACAAACUGUUUUCUCAUCACCGCUUUCAACUCAUCGCAAGCAGUUAUCGACCUCUCCCUAUUCCUCCGCCGUGAAGCGACCACCUGAUCCCAUAGUGAACUCCAAGACUGCAACCUUUACUUUCUUCUUCUUCAAGUAGUUGUGGCACUCAAAUAUCAACUCCACCUUUUUCUCCCAAUCAAGAAAUACCUCUGGGUCACUCCUACCCCGAAAUGUUGGAAUUGACAUUUUAAUGCUACCCAUACCUCCAUCACCGUCGUUUUCCCCAUAGUUUCAGCCCUUCGUUCAAACCUACAAUCUCUAUUCCUCAUCCGUCCCAUCUUUACUUCUUCAAAUUCAUCAUCAUCUCAUUCACUGCCAUACCUAUAUUCAUUUUGCAUAUUCACCCUAGGCUCUCGUCUAGCCAGCUUCCUAAUAUGUGGUAUGUCUGCUUGUUGACCCUGACUAAGGUUUGUAACCGUAGCGUCUAGCCCGUCCAACCUAUUCUCUACACAAAUUAUCAUGCGCUCAAAUCGCUGCAUCAUAUCGUCUGCCAUGUUAUUUUGAUUUCCAUCCUGCUCGAAGUGGAUCCUUCCCGUUCUGACAUUCUCACGAAUUUUCUGUCUCACUAAAAUUUCACUCGGGAUCACUCAAUAUUUGACUUUUACCCUCAAUUAAACUCACCACUCAGCAUUUUACCACUCAAGCUUUCAAUCAAUGUCCAAGAACAAUUUUCAAACUCAACCUGAAUGAUUCUUGUGGAAUUCCAAUUGAAUUGUGCAGAUUCAAGAUUAGGAAGAAAAAGGACUAAAGUAUUAAAUAGAAUUUUUGGAGGGACUAAAAAAAAUCAAUUUUUUUUAUUAAUGAACAGUACAGUACGGAUGAACAGUAACAUUAAAUUUUUUUUAAAAAAACACAAAACAAUUAGAUUACUAAAAACUUUAGAUCUAGAACUAAAACUUAAUGGGAAACACGAAGAACAAAGAAAACAAAGACUCAAAAAUAAGAAGAAAUAAACAAAGGGAUAUAACUUGGAUUCUGGUGCUUAAACUCUGAUACCACCUGAUGUGAACCCGGUAGCAACGAACACUAAUGAACCCACAGAAGAAUGACACAAAUCCCAAGAAAGUCAAAAAUCAAAGUUUAGGACUCAAUUCACACUUUUGGGAACUAAACAACCAAUAGUAUAUUAAACUUAUAAAUUUAAUCCAGAUUUGGAUUUAACCCAACCAAUUAAUAAAUCAAACAACCUCAAGGUAACAAAGAUACGAAAGACCUUUUGAUUACACAAUUAACUGAAUCUUACCCGAGUUUUGAACGCCACAAGAUUGCGAAAUAUUGAUAAGUUUGAUUGUUCCACAUAAGAACAAAUAUUGGAAGCAAAAAAGCCUCUCGAAUUAAUUCUCAAAAUAUCUAAGUAUUCGAAUACAAUAAUGAAAUAAAUUUCCUAUUUAUACUAAAGUUUAGACACAUGGAAAAAAAACCUGAUUUAAGAGUUCUGAAAUAAUAAACUUGCCAAAAAUAAGAAAUUGAGUCAAAGUAGGAUUCUUGCGAGGAAAUUGCAACUUUGGUCUCGAAGUAUACUAUGCGGCCGACUUUGGCCUAACCCGGAUCAUAUCAUCACCCAUGCCAUUCAAAUCACAAACCAUCAUCGUCACUGCCACCAACACUUGUGAUAACAACUACCACUCCGACCACCACCACGACCCACUACCAACAUCACACCACCCCAACUCAUCCCUAAUGUACUCUAGCCCAAUGCUAGAUCGAAACCUAGAACUCGACCAACAUCACCAACAACUCACAUCACAGCCAUCACCAUCGCCAACAUCUCGACCACCAUAGCACUACGUGUGUAGCGCCGUCACAAUAUCGUAGCUCGAUGGAUGCCGACGAUGUCUUUUCUUUCCAACGGUGUUUUCUAGCGAAAGCAAUGCCGCUUUGAGUUGCGUUGUCAAAGGCCACCAAAGUCUCACCACCAUCACGAUUCAGCACUGUUGCCAUUGCCACACCACCAUAGCACAUCACAAAAAAAAAAAAAAAAAAAAAAAAAAAAAAAAGAAACCCCCAAAUUUGACAUCGAAAUGGCCACCACAAUGAAGAAAAUGAAAAUAUAAACCUCGUCACCCAAAUUAGCAGUUAUCGCCGGAGCCGGAAUUGCUUUCUUAAGCUGCCAGAGAGAGAGAGAGAGAGAGAGAGAGA